GACGGAGGGUGCUAGCGUUGUUCGGAAUUACUGGGCGUAAAGGGCGCGUAGGCGGCCCUGUCAGUCGGGUGUGAAAGCCCGGGGCUCAACCCCGGAACGGCACCCGAGACGGCAGGGCUGGAGACCGGGAGAGGAGGGUGGAAUAGCCAGUGUAGAGGUGAAAUUCGUAGAUAUUCGCAAGAACACCAGUGGCGAAGGCGGCUCACUGGCCCGAUACUGACGCUGAGGUGCGAAAGCGUGGGGAGCAAACAGG
This 253-nucleotide ribosomal RNA is filed under the name uncultured bacterium. Its description in RNAcentral is "partial 16S ribosomal RNA". It matches the Rfam family "Bacterial small subunit ribosomal RNA", at positions 524 to 776 of the family's 1533-position model. The record is from RNAcentral.